GUUAAAACUCAAAUGAAUUGACGGGGGCCCGCACAAGCGGUGGAGCAUGUGGUUUAAUUCGAUGCAACGCGAAGAACCUUACCUACUCUUGACAUCCAGAGAAUUUAGCAGAGAUGCUUUAGUGCCUUCGGGAACUCUGAGACAGGUGCUGCAUGGCUGUCGUCAGCUCGUGUUGUGAAAUGUUGGGUUAAGUCCCGCAACGAGCGCAACCCUUAUCCUUUGUUGCCAGCACAUUAUGGUGGGAACUCAAAGGAGACUGCCGGUGAUAAACCGGAGGAAGGUGGGGAUGACGUCAAGUCAUCAUGGCCCUUACGAGUAGGGCUACACACGUGCUACAAUGGCGUAUACAAAGAGAAGCGACCUCGCGAGAGCAAGCGGAACUCAUAAAGUACGUCGUAGUCCGGAUUGGAGUCUGCAACUCGACUCCAUGAAGUCGGAAUCGCUAGUAAUCGUAGAUCAGAAUACUACGGUGAAUACGUUCCCGGGCCUUGUACACACCGCCCGUCACACCAUGGGAGUGGGUUGCAAAAGAAGUAGGUAGCUUAACCUUCGGGAGGGCGCUUACCACUUUGUGAUUCAUGACUGGGGUGAAGUCGUAACAAGGUAACCA
RNAcentral lists this ribosomal RNA (610 nucleotides) under uncultured Providencia sp. RNAcentral's name for it is "bacterial SSU rRNA". It matches the Rfam family "Bacterial small subunit ribosomal RNA", at positions 893 to 1502 of the family's 1533-position model. Lineage: Bacteria; Pseudomonadati; Pseudomonadota; Gammaproteobacteria; Enterobacterales; Morganellaceae. The record is from RNAcentral.